AUAUCAUUAGUAAUGAUGAAUACCAGUUUUGGUGACAAUAGGUGCUUUGAUUCAUUAUCCAAUAAUCACGGCGUAUCUUUUGCAGCACAAGAUUCUCUUCCCAUGGGAGAGAGGGUGGAAAAGCUUCACAUGCUUCAAAGCAUGAUGUCAAGAUACGAGUAGAAUGAUCAUGAGAAAUUUCUUUCAACUUGGGAAGCUCAAAUACGUACAAGGAGAAUGAGGAUAAUGAGAUACACCAUGUAGAGAGGGUAAUGCAAUUAUUGAAUCUAAAAGACCGGUUUGCUUUCUGAGGCCGUAGGAGAGGGAGUUUCGCUGAAGAGGAAGAGGAAGAGGAAGAGGACAUUAGUGAACUCAAAAUUUUGUACAAGUCAUCCUCAGGGACCAAACUAAUCUAACCAAUCAUAUUCUUGUCAACUUGGCUACCGAAACAUGGAAUUCAAUGAGACUGCGAUUGUAGAAGCAAACUACUACCCGAUGACCAUAAAAGUCUCAUCUUGUAAAAUUAACAAUAAUCUAGCAAAACAACCAAG
Molecule: long non-coding RNA, 530 nt
Filed under: Olea europaea subsp. europaea
Lineage: Eukaryota; Viridiplantae; Streptophyta; Magnoliopsida; Lamiales; Oleaceae
Source: RNAcentral